This 368-nucleotide ribosomal RNA is filed under the name uncultured organism. RNAcentral's name for it is "bacterial SSU rRNA". It matches the Rfam family "Bacterial small subunit ribosomal RNA", at positions 526 to 896 of the family's 1533-position model. The record is from RNAcentral.
CGGAGGGUGCAGGCGUUAUUCGGAUUCACUGGGUUUAAAGGGUGCGUAGGCGGGCAGGUAAGUCCGUGGUGAAAUCUCUGAGCUUAACUCAGAAACUGCCAUGGAUACUAUUUGUCUUGAAUAUUGUGGAGGUAAGCGGAAUAUGUCAUGUAGCGGUGAAAUGCUUAGAUAUGACAUAGAACACCAAUUGCGAAGGCAGCUUACUACACAGUUAUUGACGCUGAGGCACGAAAGCGUGGGGAUCAAACAGGAUUAGAUACCCUGGUAGUCCACGCCCUAAACGAUGAUUACUCGACAUCAGCGAUACACUGUUGGUGUCUGAGCGAAAGCAUUAAGUAAUCCACCUGGGAAGUACGAUCGCAAGAUUG